ACCUCUCGAAAACAACAACGAUGAUAAGAACUUUAUCGAACUGUAACUGUAACACUAAUACACUGAAACUGGCAAGAAGCUAUAAAAGACUUAAGUAGCCGUGGGCCAUAUGGCGUUACUCUGAGGCUUUUCGCUUUGUUCUUUUGAUAGGUUCAACAUGUUUGUUUUCUUUGUUUGUUUUUUCUCCUUAUAGUUCAUCUUCGAUCUACUUAUUUGCCAUUUAGUUGCCAGGGAGCGUUUUUUGAAUUAGAAUGUCAAUAAUGUGAGUGUCAGGCAAGGAAAAAGAGCUAGUCCCCACAGUGAAAACUAAACAUAGGGAAUCAUUUGAAAAUUUUCUAGAAACAAUAACGCCACAGGUAUACGCCUAGGAAAAACUUUUUAAAAUAGUUAACUUGCAUGUUGUACAAAUUCAUUGUCGCUUUACAAGCAACCUUUGAUCCUAGUCCUCGGCUGCAUGACCUAAAACGUCUUGUACUUGAGCUUUUCCACUUUCUGUUCUAAUUCUUUAUGGAGAACUGAUACCAUCGUCGUUAACUCCCUCUCAAAUAAGCCCCCGCCUAACCUUAAAUGGGCUUGAAAUAAAUAAGCCGCCUGGGGGGUUAAUAGCAACAACAACAACAACAACUUUAAUCAGUAUUACCAUUUUGUACAGGUGUUACCAAUUAAAAUAACAAUAAACAGCUAAAUUUAAGAAAAUGAAGAUAUAAUGAAAUGGUAGAAUGAACGAUGUUUAUUUCGUCUUUCAAAUGCGCGAAAGAUGAAAUUAGUAGCUAGCCUGCUGGUAUGUGAAUCGGUAUUGUUAAAAAGAAAACAGACUUUAUCCUCGAUACUGUAAUUUGUUCUAGAGGAUUGACGGUACCUUCUUUCUCCAGAUACUGUGAUACGGCAUGCAAAUGAAGAAAUCUACACAUUAACUUUCAGCUAAUUUGAUUGAGCCACCCUCGGUCGAGGGAAAUUUGACCUCGGAGCAACGGCGUGGCCGUGAGCUGCUGUACGGAACGCCGGUUGUUUUUCUGUGUUGCCUUUACUUCGUAUUAUGAAGAGGUUGACAGAGUCAAACAAUAACACCCAAAAAAAAUCGCCGAUUUCAAGCCAAAAAACACAGGAAUACAUCAAAAUUUGGCUAGUAAAAUAACUGCAAUUGUUGUAACAUUUCACUUAUCACCAGCUACUUGGCUAGGAAGUUAAAAAUAUUCCAGCUGCAGUUACUUCAAACCACUUGAAGGACCUAUUCAUUGGAUUAUUAAAAAGGAAUCCUCGUGACAGGCUGGAUUUUGCGGAUUUCUUUGCCCAUCCCUUCUUGACUGGCAGAGUUCCCCAUCGUGCAUGUAAGCGAGAUCAAAACUACUGUUGCUGCUAAUGUUCUAGAAGGGCAGGCAAGCAGUUAACAAGAACAAAGAAAGAAAAUGAAUGAGAUAUUUGCUCCAGAAAGAAAUCCAUUACUAUGAUCCUGUCUAUUAAAGGCUCAAUUAUUUUGGCUCUGAUCUUUCUGGAAAUUCUGAUUACUUUAACAUUUAAAAGCAACCCAGCUACUUAAGA
This 1539-nucleotide long non-coding RNA is filed under the name Stylophora pistillata. RNAcentral's name for it is "uncharacterized LOC111345968, transcript variant X2". The record is from RNAcentral. Lineage: Eukaryota; Metazoa; Cnidaria; Anthozoa; Scleractinia; Pocilloporidae.